Molecule: long non-coding RNA, 674 nt
Organism: Macrobrachium nipponense
Lineage: Eukaryota; Metazoa; Arthropoda; Malacostraca; Decapoda; Palaemonidae
Exons: 3
Source: RefSeq, a predicted model, not a curated record
AUUAAAGGCUUUGGUUCAUUCAAGGGGGACACACACUUCACCCCCAAUAACUGGGACAUAAAGGUAUAAAUAGGGAAUUCGUUUGCGAGAGUGUAUACUUGAGACACAGUGCCUAUACAAACAGAGCAUCGUACACAGCUACUUAACUGUCGUAGAAGAUGAAGGCCUUCUUACUAGCUGUUAUCCUUUCUGUUACCUUGUGCGCAUGCUCAAAGGGCGCCUACUCUAACACACUGAUCGGAUGUCCCAGUGAGGUUUCUAAGGGCUGCCCUGUGCCUCAAGGCGACUUUCCACUUUACUUCUCUCAUCCAGAAGACUGUUCCAAGUUCUGUGAGUGUGGCAUGGAGGGCAUUGCUUGGUCAGUCUCCUGCAUGCCCGGACUCCUGUGGAACGACAAGAUUUAUGCCUGCGACUGGGCUGUCAAUGUCCAGUGUGGCGAAAGACCCAGACCUUAGAGUCAGGACACCCUGUGACCAGUAAUGACGUCUCUACUCGAAGAGGAUAUCUACUUAAGACUUAAAAUUUCUUUCAAAAUCUGAAGCGGAGGAUAUAACAAAACAUUUUCUACUUUCCAGCCUCUUCUUUUAUCAAACAAAAAAUCAUACAUAUUAAAAAUAAUACAUUUUACAGUCUAUGAUAAAUUCUAGUGUUCAAUAAAAUUAAUUAGAUCUGAA